UACGGAGGGGGCUAGCGUUGUUCGGAAUUACUGGGCGUAAAGCGCGCGUAGGUGGCUUCGUAAGUCCGUUGUGAAAGUCAAAGGCUCAACCUUUGAAAGCCGAUGGAUACUGUGAAGCUAGAGUACGGAAGAGGCGAGUGGAAUUCCUGGUGUAGCGGUGGAAUGCGCAGAUAUCAGGAGGAACACCAAUAGCGAAGGCAGCUCGCUGGGACGUUACUGACACUGAGGCGCGAAAGCGUGGGGAGCGAACAGG
This 253-nucleotide ribosomal RNA is filed under the name uncultured bacterium. RNAcentral's name for it is "partial 16S ribosomal RNA". It matches the Rfam family "Bacterial small subunit ribosomal RNA", at positions 524 to 776 of the family's 1533-position model. The record is from RNAcentral.